RNAcentral lists this unclassified non-coding RNA (1888 nucleotides) under Nilaparvata lugens (brown planthopper). Its description in RNAcentral is "gastrula zinc finger protein XlCGF57.1, transcript variant X29". Lineage: Eukaryota; Metazoa; Arthropoda; Insecta; Hemiptera; Delphacidae. The record is from RNAcentral.
GUGUCCAAGUGAUUUUGCAAAUCUUGGCUUGGAUUGUUGGCUGGUAGUGCAAUCUAAUAUUAUUAUAGUUUGGUAGUUUAUUUUAUUUUGGCACAAUAUUCAUUUGGAUAAAAAAUACUAGAAUGGAGUCAGAAAUCAAGGAAGAAAUUGAAGCUUUCCUGAAUGCUCCAAUGGAUAUUGGCAGAAGCGACUAUGAAUUAUCCUUGAAGGCUGAAUUAGACUAUGAGAAUCAGUCAAAAAUGUCCACAUGUGACCAAAUAACAGAUAGCAAAUCACCAGUCUCAGAGCACAAUUCAUUAAGUGGAGAAUCAGAUUCCAGGUUGACUAAGGCCAUUGAAAAAGAAGUGUGUGGUGGUAGAAUAGCCAAAGUAGUAUCAGUAAGUUUGGAGGAUUCGUUUGAAGGCUGCAAUCAACAGAAGUUAUGUCCAUACCAGAUGGCGACAGUUACUGUUAAAAAGGAGGAGGAGGAGGAGGAGGAGGAUGAUAGCAGCCAGCAACCAGCUGCAGUGGAAGAUGAUUGCAGCCAACAACAUUAUCUAAUCCCUGGCUACAACAUGAUCUUCAUCAAAGAGGAGGCAUAUGAUGAGCAAGAGGCUGAAGAAAGUGCAGUGAAGUGCGAACCAGAGAUGUGGCCUUCAAACUGCAGCACAUCUGGCCGAGACUAUGCAACAGGAGUGGGUGGACUGAAUGAGCAUUCAACCUCUCCAGUGGAAAAGUGCACUGAGUCAUCUGUGGCUGGCAAAAAGACCAAGCUGUACAGCUGUGCUGACUGUAGCUAUAAGACACCAAAGUUUAGUCAUUUGAAGAUGGCGACAGUUACUGUUAAAAAGGAGGAGGAGGAGGAUGAUAGCAGCCAGCAACCAGCUGCAGUGGAAGAUGAUUGCAGCCAACAGCAUUAUCUAAUCCCUGGCUACAACAUGAUCUUCAUCAAAGAGGAUGCAUAUGACGAGCAAGAGGCUGAAGAAAGUGCAGUGAAGAGCGAACCAGAGAUGUGGCCUUCAAACUGCAGCACAUCUGGCCGAGACUAUGCAACAGGAGUGGGUGGACUGAAUGAGCAUUCAACCUCUCCAGUGGAAAAGUGCACUGAGUCAUCUGUGGCUGGCAAAAAGACCAAGCUCUACAGCUGUGCUGACUGUAGCUAUAAGACACCAAAGUUUAGUCAUUUGAAGAUGGCGACAGUUACUGUUAAAAAGGAGGAGGAGGAGGAUGAUAGCAGCCAGCAACCAGCUGCAGUGGAAGAUGAUUGCAGCCAACAGCAUUAUCUAAUCCCUGGCUACAACAUGAUCUUCAUCAAAGAGGAUGCAUAUGACGAGCAAGAGGCUGAAGAAAGUGCAGUGAAGAGCGAACCAGAGAUGUGGCCUUCAAACUGCAGCACAUCUGGCCGAGACUAUGCAACAGGAGUGGGUGGACUGAAUGAGCAUUCAACCUCUCCAGUGGAGAAGUGCACUGAGUCAUCUGUGGCUGGCAAAAAGACCAAGCUAUACAGCUGUGCUGACUGUAGCUAUAAGACACCAAAGUUUAGUCAUUUGAAGAUGGCGACAGUUACUGUUAAAAAGGAGGAGGAGGAGGAUGAUAGCAGCCAGCAACCAGCUGCAGUGGAAGAUGAAUGCAGCCAACAACAUUAUCUAAUCCCUGGCUACAACAUGAUCUUCAUCAAAGAGGAGGCAUAUGAUCAAGGAAGAAAUUGAAGCAUUCCUGAAUACUCCAAUGAAUAUUGGCAGAAGCGACCAUGAAUUAUCCUUGAAGGCUGAAUUAGACUAUGAGAAUCAGUCAAAAAUGUCCACAUGUGACCAAAUAACAGAUAGCAAAUCACCAGUCUCAGAGCACAAUUCAUUGAGUGGAGAAUCAGAUUCCAGGCUGACUAAGGCCAUUGAAAAAGAAGUGUGUG